AAGCUUUGCUCAUGCUCAUGCGCCAUUACAGCCUGUCUGCCUCGGUGGCAAUGUCCCAUGACUGAUGCUGAGAGCAGAUUCAGCCAGAGACUCGACAGACAGCCCAGGUGCUGCACACUGCAGGCACCAGAAAUUCUCCAAGUGUGGCCACGUACAGAGGUAGAAGAUUUUGGCGAUAUUAUGAGCCUGUUCCUGUGAUCUAGGACUGCAACCCUCUGCAACCACUGACGAAGCAGCAAGUCCAGGGGACUCUUCCAUUCACAAUAAAAC
Molecule: long non-coding RNA, 270 nt
Organism: Ficedula albicollis (Collared flycatcher)
Lineage: Eukaryota; Metazoa; Chordata; Aves; Passeriformes; Muscicapidae
Exons: 3
Source: RefSeq, a predicted model, not a curated record